UACAGGGGGGCAAGCGUUGUUCGGAAUUACUGGGCGUAAAGGGCUCGUAGGCGGCCAACUAAGUCCGACGUGAAAUCCCAAAGCUUAACUUUGGAACUGCGUCGGAUACUGGAUGGCUUGAAUUCGGGAGAGGGAUGCAGAAUUCCAGGUGUAGCGGUGAAAUGCGUAGAUAUCUGGAGGAAUACCGGUGGCGAAGGCGGCAUCCUGGACCGACAUUGACGCUGAGGAGCGAAAGCUAGGGGAGCAAACGGG
RNAcentral lists this ribosomal RNA (252 nucleotides) under uncultured bacterium. RNAcentral describes it as "partial 16S ribosomal RNA". It matches the Rfam family "Bacterial small subunit ribosomal RNA", at positions 524 to 776 of the family's 1533-position model. The record is from RNAcentral.